This 906-nucleotide ribosomal RNA is filed under the name uncultured Campylobacterota bacterium. RNAcentral's name for it is "bacterial SSU rRNA". It matches the Rfam family "Bacterial small subunit ribosomal RNA", at positions 335 to 1257 of the family's 1533-position model. Lineage: Bacteria; Pseudomonadati; Campylobacterota. The record is from RNAcentral.
ACUCCUACGGGAGGCAGCAGUGAGGAAUAUUGCACAAUGGGGGAAACCCUGAUGCAGCAACGCCGCGUGGAGGAUGACGCAUUUCGGUGUGUAAACUCCUUUUAUAUGUCAAGAAAAUGACGGUAGCAUAUGAAUAAGCACCGGCUAACUCCGUGCCAGCAGCCGCGGUAAUACGGAGGGUGCAAGCGUUAUUCGGAAUCACUGGGCGUAAAGGACGCGUAGGCGGGUUGGCAAGUCAGAUGUGAAAUCCUACAGCUUAACUGUAGAACUGCAUUUGAAACUGCCGACCUAGAGUAUGGGAGGGGGAGAUGGAAUUAGUGGUGUAGGGGUAAAAUCCGUAGAUAUCACUAGGAAUACCGAAAGCGAAGGCGAUCUCCUGGAACAUAACUGACGCUAAGGCGUGAAAGCGUGGGGAGCAAACAGGAUUAGAUACCCUGGUAGUCCACGCCCUAAACGAUGUUCACUAGUCGUCGCUCUGCUAGUCAGGGCGGUGAUGCACUUAACAGAUUAAGUGAACCGCCUGGGGAGUACGGUCGCAAGAUUAAAACUCAAAGGAAUAGACGGGGACCCGCACAAGUGGUGGAGCAUGUGGUUUAAUUCGAAGAUACGCGAAGAACCUUACCUAGCCUUGACAUUGAGAGAACCUACCAGAGAUGGCGGGGUGCCCUUCGGGGAGCUCGAAAACAGGUGCUGCACGGCUGUCGUCAGCUCGUGUCGUGAGAUGUUGGGUUAAGUCCCGCAACGAGCGCAACCCUCGUCCUUAGUUGCUAGCAGGUUAAGCUGAGCACUCUAAGGAGACUGCCUUCGUAAGGAGGAGGAAGGUGAGGACGACGUCAAGUCAUCAUGGCCCUUAUGGCUAGGGCUACACACGUGCUACAAUGGGGCGUACAGAGUGUUGCGAUACCG